RNAcentral lists this ribosomal RNA (478 nucleotides) under uncultured bacterium. RNAcentral's name for it is "partial 16S ribosomal RNA". It matches the Rfam family "Bacterial small subunit ribosomal RNA", at positions 29 to 523 of the family's 1533-position model. The record is from RNAcentral.
AACAAACGCUGGCGGCGUGCCUAAUACAUGCAAGUCGAACGAGGAAAGCUUUCGGGUGAGUACUAGUGGCGCACGGGUGAGGAAUAUAUGGGUAAUCUGCCCUCGAGUUGGGGGUAACCAGUCGAAAGACUGGCUAAUACCGAAUAAGACCACAGGAUCUGCGGAUCUAGGGGUUAAAGGUUUUUCGCUUGAGGAUGAGCCCAUACGGGAUUAGCUAGUUGGCGAGGUAAUGGCUCACCAAGGCUGCGAUCCCUAACUGGUCUUAGAGGAUGAUCAGUCACACUGGAACUGAGACACGGUCCAGACUCCUACGGGAGGCAGCAGUAGGGAAUAUUGCACAAUGGGGGAAACCCUGAUGCAGCGACGCCGCGUGAGUGAUGAGGGCCUUCGGGUCGUAAAGCUCUGUCGUAUGGGACUAACACAAUGAAGGUACCAUGCAAGAAAGGAUCGGCUAACUUCGUGCCAGCAGCCGCCGUAA